RNAcentral lists this transfer RNA (72 nucleotides) under Phrynosoma platyrhinos (Desert horned lizard). Its description in RNAcentral is "tRNA-OTHER". Lineage: Eukaryota; Metazoa; Chordata; Lepidosauria; Squamata; Phrynosomatidae. The record is from RNAcentral.
AGCAGGGUGGUGGAGUGGUUUCAGUGUUGGACUAUGACUCUGGAGACCAGGGUUCGAUUCCCAGCUUGGCCA